AUUGAACGUUGGCGGCACGCCUAAUACAUGCAAGUCGAACGAGAAAGCACUUCGGUGUGAGUACAGUGGCGGACGGGUGAGUAACGCGUAGGAAUCUACCUAGUAGUGGGGGACAACUCGAGGAAACUCGAGCUAAUACCGCAUACGCUCUUAGGAGGAAAGUGGGGGAUCUUCGGACCUCACGCUAUUAGAGGAGCCUGCGUUAGAUUAGCUUGUUGGUGAGGUAAAGGCUCACCAAGGCGACGAUCUAUAGCUGGUCUGAGAGGACGAUCAGCCACACUGGAACUGAGACACGGUCCAGACUCCUACGGGAGGCAGCAGUAGGGAAUCUUGGGCAAUGGGCGAAAGCCUGACCCAGCGAUGCCGCGUGUGCGAAGAAGGCCUUAGGGUUGUAAAGCACUUUCAGUCGUGAAGAAAAGCUACGAUUUAAUAUGUCGUGGUCUUGACGUUAGCGACAGAAGAAGUACCGGCUAACUCCGUGCCAGCAGCCGCGGUAAUACGGAGGGUACGAACGUUAAUCGGAAUUACUGGGCGUAAAGCGCGCGUAGGCGGUUUGAUAAGUGGGAUGUGAAAGCCCCGGGCUCAACCUGGGAACUGCAUUCCAAACUGUCAAACUAGAGUGUGGUAGAGGGCGGUAGAAUUUCCUGUGUAGCGGUGAAAUGCGUAGAUAUAGGAAGGAAUACCGAUGGCGAAGGCAGCCGCCUGG
Molecule: ribosomal RNA, 706 nt
Filed under: bacterium IMCC8906
Lineage: Bacteria
Description: bacterial SSU rRNA
Rfam family: Bacterial small subunit ribosomal RNA
Source: RNAcentral